CUCCUACGGGAGGCAGCAGUGGGGAAUAUUGCGCAAUGCCGGCAACGGUGACGCAGCGACGCCGCGUGGGUGAUGAAGGCCUUCGGGUCGUAAAGCCCUUUCGGUGGGGAAGAAAGGCAUGGGGAGUAACUGUCCUGUGCUUGACGGUACCCACAGAAGAAGCCCCGGCUAACUCCGUGCCAGCAGCCGCGGUAAUA
This 197-nucleotide ribosomal RNA is filed under the name uncultured bacterium. RNAcentral describes it as "partial 16S ribosomal RNA". It matches the Rfam family "Bacterial small subunit ribosomal RNA", at positions 336 to 525 of the family's 1533-position model. The record is from RNAcentral.